Malaclemys terrapin pileata is the source of this 3424-nucleotide RNA transcript. RefSeq lists it as uncharacterized. The transcript has 2 exons. The record is from RefSeq and is a predicted model, not a curated record. Lineage: Eukaryota; Metazoa; Chordata; Testudines; Emydidae.
UGCUGCCUUUUGCAGUGCUCAGCAACUCCCAAUUUUGUUGUACAGAGAUGAAAAAAUAAGGGACGUCCCUUGUAAUAAGGGACAGUUGGCAAACCUAGUUCUGGACAUCAGCAAUGGCCUUUGUGUACUCCAUAGCCAGGAACUGUGCAGUGAUAUGGACCAGAAGUAGCCACACUCAACUUGUUGACGUCCAGCUGAACACUGCAAUGUGGUGCAUCACUGGAACCCUCAAGUCGACCCCAACACCUUGGCUGCCGGUGCUGUCAUGCAUUGCACCUCCAUCCAUUUGGGGUGAUGCUGCAACCCUUCAGGAAUUUCAGCAGAUUGUGGAAAACAAAUAUCUUCCCAUCUUAACAACGUCCCUCACUGCUGCUUGAAGUCACAUAAGCCGUUUUGGACCCAUGAGUUUAACCUUCAACAAUGCAACUUCAACCUGAUGAAGCUUGGAAAGCUGAGUGGAAUUCACAAGAAGUCACAAAUAAACACCUUGUGAAAGACCCAACACAAAAGAUCCCUGGCUUCAAUCUCCCAUGAAGCUCAUGGGCAACCCUAAACCGCAUCCGCAUAACCUAUGGCAGAUGCGGAUAGUUGCUGCACAAAUGAAAAUUAAAGACUAUUCAGUGUGCAACUGUGGUCACUUAGAACAUACCAUGGAACAUAUAACAAUUCAAUGCCCAAUUCACAAAUACAAAGGAGACAUCACAGCAAUACACUCUGCUACUCCAGAUGCAAUUAUCUGCCUUAACCAUCUGAAUAUAAAAUUAAGUUGUUGCUGUACAUUUACAUCAACCAUGUGAAGAAGAAGACCGUGAGUCCCACAAUAAUUGGCAACACUGUUUAACAUUGAUGCUAAUGUCUCCCAGCUUGUGCUUGCCAGUUUUUGGACCAGGUUAACCCUUGUCUUCUUCUUGGCAGCUACUUUCUUCAGAUGGUCGUAGAGGGUUAGCAUACAAUCCAGCUUCAGUCUGAGAUAGGUCGGAGUGGGCUCAUGUCUCACAGUAUUGCCACAGAAGGUCACUUUCAGGGUGCACUUAGAAUUCCUGUUAUCAAGAUGGAAUGCAGUGACUGUUGUUGUUUUGUUUUUUGUGAGGAUUUGGCUUGAGCCUCCAUUUCUGGAAAUAUUCUUCCAUGUUGUUUAGGUCCCCGUUCAAGUUGGAUUCUGGAGGAUGAUACGUUCCAGGAGUUUGUAGGUAGUGUACAGAAGUGAUAUUGGCCUAUAGCUUCCUGGGUCGUUGGUCAGCUUGCCUGGUUUGAGUAUGACAAUAACUAUUGCCCAUCAGGCUUUUGGGAUGCAUCCAGAUUCCAUAGUUUUGGUGUACAGUUUCGCCAGCCAUUGGAGUUCCAUGGAGCCUAGUUGAUGAAGAAAUUCUUGGGAGAUACGAUUUCCACUGGCUGCCUUCCCUUUCUUCGUUAUAGCUAAACCUUUUUUUACUUCAUCAAUACUGAUGGCGAUGGGGUCUUGUGGAGGGAUUGAGAUCGUGGUCCUCCGUAGCUGAUGAUGGCUCACUCGCUUGCUAUUUUUGUCGAGUGGUCCUUUUGUGCUCUCCACCAAUUUUGAGACUAUGAAGUUGGGCCAGACUUUUGAGGUCCGAUAUUCCAUCUGAUUAGCAGCUCUGAGACAUCGAAGUAAGGCCCAGGCAUGGCAACUAGAGUGUGUGAAGUUCAAACCUUCAACACUCUCAAUCCACCACCAAGGUCUGGGUGAGUCUAGAAACUCUAGCAGGGCCUUCACAACAUGUGGGCUGCUGACUGGUUGUAUUGCUGGUGCAGAUCCUGGGUCUCUUUUGUCCAGCAGGGAGUGUAUUCUUCCGAUACCCUUCUUGCCGGCAACGAUAAGGAGGCCAACAGAUCAGUGAUAACAUUCUGGUGUCGCAGGGAUAUGGAUUACCACUUUUUCGACAGCUUCCCCUACAGCAGUCUGUUGGAUUUGGCCAGAUUCACUGUGGGAUUUGUUUUGACAGAAUCACGGAUUUCAGCGCCGACAUGGGUAAUGAUGGACCUAUGUUGGCUGUGGAGAAGUCAGGAAGUAUUUUGCAGGAUGCAUGGAGCAUAGUCCUGCUUUGAUCUUUGGAAACAAUGGUGAGGGCUGGGUUGUAAUUGCAUUGCCAGAGAGCAGAGAGGAAAGUUACUCACUGUUUGGGAUUGAAGACCAGUUGCAGAUCUUCCACAGACCUCCAAUCCAUGAGGUCUUCACCAUUGGCUUCAUUUACUUCGUAGCCUCAAAUAGUGUGGUGGGUGUUAAAGUCACCAAUGUAUAAGUCUGGGAUUGGUGCACUUGGGAUCACUGGUUUUGGCCAUUUUGAAUUAGGGGUUUUAUACACUUUGGUAAUGUGCAGUUCUCCUAUCCUGAUGGCAGUGGUGUAGGUGACUUCCUCUUCAGUUGGGAGGAAGAUGUCAAAAUCCAUUAUGGUGUUCUUCGCAUAUAUGGCCAGGCCGUAUUUCGGAUGGUAGUGGCUAGUCAUGAGGUUGUAGCUAUGGAUAUGGUAGUGGGUACCCUGUUGGUCAUUGGAGAUGUGUGUUUCUUGGAGCGUAAGGACGUCGAUGUCAUGUCUUCAAAAUAUUUGCAAGAUACUUGCACUUUGCCCAGGAAAGUCCAUCAAUGUUAGGUUCAGGAACAAGGAUCCUCCAACUUAUCUGGCAUGUUAUUUGUCCCUGAAAAGGGCUGUUAUGGUGGCUUGAGUUGUUGCUCUGAAGAUGAGGACAUCGUUGAUUGAUGACAUUAGUCGUGAUUUCUCACUUAAUAGAGUGGGCCACAUAAAGGCUGCCAUCUUCCACUCCGGGACUCACCAUAAAAACCACAUGAUUUUUUCCCCUUAAAGCCCCAUCUGCGACUGUCUCACAACCUAGCCUGUCAUCACACUCCCAGAGGCUAGCGCGGAUUAGGCAUAAGAAGAAGAGGACACGGGAGGACAUGUUCUCGGAGCUUAUAGCCUGCUCCAGAGCCCAGGCAGCACAGCAGACCCAGUGGCGGGAGAACUUGACCCGAAUGCACCAAGCCAACAUGGAUCGGGAGGAGAGGUGGCGUCAGGAAGACCAGCAGGCGACUCAAACCCUGCUUGGACUAAUGAGGGAGCAAACGGACACGCUCCGGCGCCUUGUGGAUGUUCUGCAGGAACGGAGGCAGGAGGACAGAGCCCCGCUGCAGUCCAUCUCUAACCGCCCUCCCCCGCCACCAAGUCCCAUACUCCCCUCACCCAAAGUGCACAGAAGGAGAGGCGGCAGAGUCCCUGCUAACUCUCACUCCACCCCUGCAGAGAGCUCGAGCAGCAGAAGGCUCUCAUUCCCCAAAAUUUGACAAGUUCUUUCCUUCCCGCCUGACACAAGCCCCCGUCCAAGUUUCACUUUCCCAGUUCCAUGUUUGGUUGAUAAUAAAAAAUACGUUUCUGUUAACUACUGUUUCCAUCAUGUUCUUUUGGAGGAGGGG